GUUAUAGGAUCAAGUGACUAAGUGCAUGCGGCGGAUGCCUUGGCGAUCACAGGCGAAGAAAGACGCGGCAGCCUGCGAAAAGCUGCGGGGAGCUGGCAAACGAGCUUUGAUCCGCAGAUAUCUGAAUGGGGGAACCCACACCGCAAGGUGUAUCCGUAACUGAAUACAUAGGUUACGGAGGCGAACGAGGAGAACUGAAACAUCUAAGUAUCCUCAGGAAAAGAAAUCAACCGAGAUUCCGGCAGUAGCGGCGAGCGAACCCGGAGGAGCCCAGCUUUUGAUAGUACGAACUUUAGCCGAAAGGACCUGGAAAGGCCUGCUAUAGUGGGUGAUAGCCCCGUAGGCGAAAGAGUUGGUACGGUACUAAGGAAGCGAGAAGUAGAGCGGGACACGUGGAAUCCUGUUCGAAGACGGGGGGACCAUCCUCCAAGGCUAAAUACUCGUGAUCGACCGAUAGUGAACCAGUACCGUGAGGGAAAGGCGAAAAGAACCCCGGGAGGGGAGUGAAAUAGAACCUGAAACCGCAUGCAUACAAACAGUAGGAGCCUUUACGGAGGUGACUGCGUACCUUUUGCAUAAUGGGUCAGCGACUUACAUUCUGUGGCGAGCUUAACCGAAUAGGGGAGGCGCAGCGAAAGCGAGUUCGAAAUGAGCGUUCAGUCGCAGGGUGUAGACCCGAAACCAGAUGAGCUAUCCAUGGCCAGGUUGAAGGUGUGGUAACACACACUGGAGGACCGAACCGACUAGUGUUGCAAAAUUAGCGGAUGAGCUGUGGAUAGGGGUGAAAGGCCAAACAAAUCUGGAGAUAGCUGGUUCUCCCCGAAAACUAUUGAGGUAGUGCCUCGUGUGUCGCUCCAGGGGGUAGAGCACUGUUUUGGCUAGGGGGACAUGGAGUCUUACCAAACCAAGGCAAACUCCGAAUACCUGGAAGCGUAAGCACGGGAGACAGAGCACCGGGUGCUAACGUCCGGACUCAAAAGGGAAACAACCCAGACCGCCGGCUAAGGUCCCAAAUAACAGCUAAGUGGAAAACGAAGUGGAAAGGCCGUGACAACCAGGAAGUUGGCUUAGAAGCAGCCAUCCUUCAAAGAAAGCGUAAUAGCUCACUGGUCGAGUCCUUCUGCGCGGAAGAUGUAACGGGGCUAAGCUGUUAACCGAAGCCGCGGAUGCGCUGGUUAUCCAGUGCGUGGUAGGGGAGCGUUCUGUAAGUCUGCGAAGGCGGUUCGAGAGGACUGCUGGAGAUAUCAGAAGUGCGAAUGCUGACAUGAGUAACGUUAAAGCAGGUGAAAAGCCUGCUCGCCGUAAGCCCAAGGAUUCCUGCUCUACGUUCAUCGGAGCAGGGUGAGUCGGCUCCUAAGGUCAGGCCGAAAGGCGUAGCCGAUGGGAAUCAGGUUAAUAUUCCUGAACCUGCGUCAGAUGCGAUGGGGGGACGGAGCAUGGAAGAUCAUCCGGGUGUUGGAAGUCCCGGUUGUUUAGCGUAGGAGGUCUGCAGGCAAAUCCGCAGACGCAUCUCCAAGGCAAAGACACGUGCCGCCACGGCGGCGAAGUGAUCGGAAGUGCUUCCAAGAAAAGCCUCUAAGCCCCAGUCUGACGCGGACCGUACCGCAAACCGACACUGGUGGGCGAGCUGAAUAUGCUCAGGCGCUUGAGAGAACUCGGGAGAAGGAACUCGGCAAAUUGACACCGUAACUUCGGAAGAAGGUGUGCCGUAGUACCGUGAGAGGAGAGACACCUUGAGCGGGAAACGGUCUCAGAGAAUAGGUGGCUGCGACUGUUUAUUAAAAACACAGCACUCUGCAAAGUCGAAAGACGACGUAUAGGGUGUGAUGCCUGCCCGGUGCUGGAAGAUUAAUUGAUGGGGUGAGAGCCCUUGAUCGAAGUCCCAGUAAACGGCGGCCGUAACUAUAACGGUCCUAAGGUAGCGAAAUUCCUUGUCGGGUAAGUUCCGACCUGCACGAAUGGCAUAACGAUGGCCACACUGUCUCCUCCCGAGACUCAGUGAAGUUGAAAUGUUUGUGAUGAUGCAAUCUACCCGCGGCUAGACGGAAAGACCCCAUGAACCUUUACUGCAGCUUUGCAUUGAACUGUGAACCGAUUUGUGUAGGAUAGGUGGGAGGCAGAGAAGAGGCCACGCCAGUGGNGCGGACCGUACCGCAAACCGACACUGGUGGGCGAGCUGAAUAUGCUCAGGCGCUUGAGAGAACUCGGGAGAAGGAACUCGGCAAAUUGACACCGUAACUUCGGAAGAAGGUGUGCCGUAGUACCGUGAGAGGAGAGACACCUUGAGCGGGAAACGGUCUCAGAGAAUAGGUGGCUGCGACUGUUUAUUAAAAACACAGCACUCUGCAAAGUCGAAAGACGACGUAUAGGGUGUGAUGCCUGCCCGGUGCUGGAAGAUUAAUUGAUGGGGUGAGAGCCCUUGAUCGAAGUCCCAGUAAACGGCGGCCGUAACUAUAACGGUCCUAAGGUAGCGAAAUUCCUUGUCGGGUAAGUUCCGACCUGCACGAAUGGCAUAACGAUGGCCACACUGUCUCCUCCCGAGACUCAGUGAAGUUGAAAUGUUUGUGAUGAUGCAAUCUACCCGCGGCUAGACGGAAAGACCCCAUGAACCUUUACUGCAGCUUUGCAUUGAACUGUGAACCGAUUUGUGUAGGAUAGGUGGGAGGCAGAGAAGAGGCCACGCCAGUGGCCUUGGAGCCGACCUUGAAAUACCACCCUGAUUUGUUUGCGGUUCUAACCACGGACAGUGAUCCUGUCUUGGGACCGUGCAUGGUAGGCAGUUUGACUGGGGCGGUCUCCUCCUAAAGGGUAACGGAGGAGUACGAAGGUACGCUAGGUACGGUCGGAAAUCGUGCUGAUAGUGCAAUGGCAAAAGCGUGCUUGACUGCGAGAGCAACAACUCGAGCAGAUGCGAAAGCAGGUCAUAGUGAUCCGGUGGCUCUGAAUGGAAGGGCCAUCGCUCAACGGAUAAAAGGUACUCUGGGGAUAACAGGCUGAUACCGCCCAAGAGUUCAUAUCGACGGCGGUGUUUGGCACCUCGAUGUCGGCUCAUCUCAUCCUGGGGCUGUAGUCGGUCCCAAGGGUAUGGCUGUUCGCCAUUUAAAGAGGUACGUGAGCUGGGUUUAAAACGUCGUGAGACAGUUUGGUCCCUAUCUGCCGUGGGCGUUGGAAGAUUGACGGGGGCUGCUCCUAGUACGAGAGGACCGGAGUGGACGCACCUCUGGUGUACCGGUUGUCACGCCAGUGGCAUUGCCGGGUAGCUAAGUGCGGAAGAGAUAACCGCUGAAAGCAUCUAAGCGGGAAACUUGCCUGAAGAUGAGUCUUCCCGGAGGUUGAACCUCCCUCAAGAGUCGUCCGAGACCAGGACGUCGAUAGGUCAGGUGUGUAAGCGCUGUAAGGCGUUAAGCUAACUGAUACUAAUUGCUCGUGAGGCUUGAUCCUAUAACC
Molecule: ribosomal RNA, 3447 nt
Filed under: Parasutterella excrementihominis
Lineage: Bacteria; Pseudomonadati; Pseudomonadota; Betaproteobacteria; Burkholderiales; Sutterellaceae
Description: 23S ribosomal RNA
Rfam family: Bacterial large subunit ribosomal RNA
Source: RNAcentral